RNAcentral lists this long non-coding RNA (821 nucleotides) under Mus pahari (shrew mouse). Its description in RNAcentral is "predicted gene 12446 (MGP_PahariEiJ_G0003729.1)". The record is from RNAcentral. Lineage: Eukaryota; Metazoa; Chordata; Mammalia; Rodentia; Muridae.
AGGAGCUCGUCCCAGCGCUCCUGAAUUAGGAUCUGUCUUUGCGAAAAGUUGUGUCUCGCGUGGAAAGGGUGCUCACGGCAUUUUCUUGUUCAGAGGUUGUAGGACUCGGAGGAAUGCUCAGGAGUUACAUGAAGGAAAAGCAGGACACUCAGAGUUUGGUGGCUGGAGUUUGGGCAGCAGCUGUUUGUCUAUGUGAAGGCAGGACAGACGUCCACACGGCACCAGGAGCUGUGUGGGUCUUAAGAGGUGGAGGACCCUGGUAGGCUGCAGCAGAAGCCUGUGCUACGCCUGGUGGAGCAGAGCAGCGCCCACCUGCUGAAUCCUCCUUUCCAUGCACAGCUCAGGCUGAAGGCUGAGCCUUGGUCACAGAAGCUGCAGAAACCAGAAAGGUGAAGAUCCUGACUCUCAAGAGUGGGGGACAACUGUCCUCAUGAGCAGGAGAGCCGGUGUCAGCAGUGGUGGGGAGACAAGGAAAGCUUAUUUCUACCCCAGGAGCUUGGACUGUGAGGGGUGAGGAAGAUGGCAUCUUGGGGAGUGAGUUACGGAUGGUUGGAGCCCUGGAUGGGAGCACUCUCAGGGAGAGAGGAGAAUGGCAGGAGUUGCACCAAGCUGUUUCACUGCUGGAUUGCAAGUUCAGGGGCCAAGAAAAGAGGGGGGACUUCUAUUGCUGGUUAUUCACGAUGGCACAUAGAGUCUGACUGUACAGCGAGCUGUUUGGCUUCUUCUACUCAGCACACUACCCCAAGGCUGCUCUGCUGUGGCACCAGUUCUCUGCUCUCUGAAAAGAAUCAGUGGCGCGCAUGCUCUGCUCAUCCACUCCC